RNAcentral lists this long non-coding RNA (1056 nucleotides) under Vitis vinifera (wine grape). RNAcentral's name for it is "long non-coding RNA (VVIN_LNC005266)". The record is from RNAcentral. Lineage: Eukaryota; Viridiplantae; Streptophyta; Magnoliopsida; Vitales; Vitaceae.
UAUUUGCGAGGUCUAAGUUCAAGUUCCGGUCUAAGUCCAAUCUCCCUCCAGGGCCAAGUACAUUUCCGAUUAUUGGAAAUUUAUUAUGGUUACAAAAAUCCUUUUCAGAACUCGAGUAUGUGGUAAAGAGCCUGCAUGAAAAGCAUGGUCCGAUCGUGACCCUCCCCUUCGGGUUUAACCCGGCCAUCUUUGUGGCUAGUAACUCCUUGGCUUACCAAGCUCUAGUCCAGAACGGAGCCGUUUUUGCCGACCGCCCUCCCCCACCCAUCACCAGCAAGAUCAUGGCCAGCAACCAGUGCACCAUCAGCUCCGCCCCCUACGGCCCCGCCUGGCGCCUCCUCCGCCGCAAUCUCACCUCCGAGAUCCUCCACCCCUCGCGCGUGAGGCUAUACUCCCGCGCCCGGAAGUGGGUCCUGGACAUUCUCGUGGCCGGCCUCCGCCAGGAGGCCGAAGGCCGGGACAACGUGGUUUUAGUGGUGAAGCACUUCCACUUCGCCAUGUUCUGCUUGCUGGUUCUCAUGUGCUUCGGCGACGACCUUGGGGAAGCCAAGAUCAGAGAGAUUCAAGGCAUGGAGAGUCGAGUCCUUCAGAGUUAUCACAACUUUAAAAUCCUCAAUUUCUUCCCGGUUAUCGGAAAAUUCUUGUUCCACAAGCGGUGGGAGAAGUUCAUGCAGCUGAGGAAGGAUCAUGAGGACGUGCUCAUCCCUCUGAUUAGAGCUCGGCAACCCUGCGAGAAGACGGAUACGGUGAGCAAACCAAAUCCAUCCAUAACGUGCUACGUCGACACUUUACUGGACCUGCAACUCCCAGACGAGAAGAGGAAGCUCACAGAAGGGGAGAUAGUGAGCUUGUGCUCGGAGUUUCUCAACGCCGGCACCCACACCACAGACGCUCCGCUGCAGUGGAUCAUGGCGAACCUGGUGAGGUACCCGCACAUUCAGGCCAAGCUUUUCGAGGAAAUUAGCGGGGUUGUGGGGGAAGGAGAGGACGAAGUGAAGGAGGAAGAUUUGCAGAAGAUGCCAUACUUGAAGGCGGUGGUGUUAGAGGGUCUCCGGC